UACGGGGGGGGCAAGCGUUGUUCGGAAUUACUGGGCGUAAAGGGCUCGUAGGUGGCCAACUAAGUCAGACGUGAAAUCCCUCGGCUUAGCCGGGGAACUGCGCCUGAUACUGGAUGGCUUGAGUUUGGGAGAGGGACGCGGAAUUCCAGGUGUAGCGGUGAAAUGCGUAGAUAUUGGGAGGAACACCAGUGGCGAAGGCGGCUCACUGGACUGGUACUGACGCUGAGGCGCGAAAGCGUGGGGAGCAAACGGG
This 253-nucleotide ribosomal RNA is filed under the name uncultured bacterium. RNAcentral describes it as "partial 16S ribosomal RNA". It matches the Rfam family "Bacterial small subunit ribosomal RNA", at positions 524 to 776 of the family's 1533-position model. The record is from RNAcentral.